RNAcentral lists this transfer RNA (86 nucleotides) under Gammaproteobacteria bacterium. RNAcentral describes it as "tRNA-Leu". It matches the Rfam family "tRNA". From Rfam's summary of the family: Transfer RNA (tRNA) molecules are approximately 80 nucleotides in length. Their secondary structure includes four short double-helical elements and three loops (D, anti-codon, and T loops). RNAcentral also lists the same sequence under 3 other names. The record is from RNAcentral. Lineage: Bacteria; Pseudomonadati; Pseudomonadota; Gammaproteobacteria.
GCCCAGGUGGUGGAAUUGGUAGACACGCUAUCUUGAGGGGGUAGUGGCCGUAGGCCGUGCCGGUUCAAGUCCGGCCCUGGGCACCA